UAAGAAUCGAUAAAAUACCAUUAGAAUAAGAGGGCGAGACGGAAAAAAAAAAAAGGAGAUUUCCAAAAGUUGUAUCCUACUGGUUAACUUAAAUAUUACCUUCGGAGGGGAUACUCUCUCUGGAAGGAAGAAUAGGAGCAAGUUAGUGUUGGCUAGCUCAACAAUAGCAGUGUCCCCACUUGAAGGAAUAGCCUGGGAAUUUGUGGGAAGAGGAAGUUUGAUAGGAAUGGACAAAGUAUUUAGAGCCUUAGAGGGUAACAGAGCAACUCGGGAGAUAAGUUGUCCUCAAAAUCUUCUUCAAGGGCCUCCAAAAAAUCCAUAUUUCAUUUAGGAUAAAAGCUCCUAAUAAUGUCCGGUUUAACUCUAAGAUAGUAAGCUUUACCUUGCAACUUUCUAGCUCAUUACGAAGUCACCAUACUCGCCUAGCUAAUCAGAUAUUGGCAUCUAGGAGAAUCAUUUCAUUCAUUGAACUUUCAAGAUCUCUGACGGUAAGGAAUUGCUCAACCUUCACCAACUGAAGCUCCUCCUUCAGUCUGGAAACCUCGCGAUCAACCCUCUAAGCUUAGGCUUGAUGGUUCAAUUUAGCUUGCUCCAAGUCUUUAGAGACCCUCCUAAUAUCGGCUAUCAGAAUAGCCUUAUUGUUAGCAUAAAUCUCAACACUUCUGAACAUCUUCUUAUAUUUAACUUUCUCCUUCUCUACCUCCUCUAGUUUCCUUUGAAAAGUGUCACACUUCAUCUCCGAAGGCUGAAUUUUUUUAUCCAAACUAUCAGUUCACAAAAUGUAAAUCUCAUACUCUGUUUGUUGGUCAUGCCUCAUGGUGUAGUACCAUAGCUCGCAUCAAUCAUUUUUUUCUUUGUGUUGGAGCAAAUUCCACUAUGAAUUUCUCAAGAAUUGGUUAAAAUAAGUACAGGCAAAUCUCACAGUCCGAGAAAUAAAAGGAGAAAAUGUAGAUAAAACCAUUGAAU
This 966-nucleotide long non-coding RNA is filed under the name Olea europaea subsp. europaea. Lineage: Eukaryota; Viridiplantae; Streptophyta; Magnoliopsida; Lamiales; Oleaceae. The record is from RNAcentral.